GAUGAAGAACGUAGCGAAAUGGGAUAAGUAAUGUGAAUUGCAGAAUUCAGUGAAUCAUCGAAUCUUUGAACGCACAUUGCGCCCGCCAGUAUUCUGGCGGGCAUGCCUGUUCGAGCGUCAUUUCAACCAUCAAGCCCCAGGCUUGUGUUGGAGCCCUGCGGCUGCCGCAGCCUCCCAAAACCAGUGGCGGGCUCGCUAUCACACCGAGUGCAGUAGUUUACUCUUCGCUCAGGGCGUGUGGCGGGUGCUAGCCGUAAAACCCCCAACUUCUCAAGGUUGACCUCGGAUCAGGAAGGAAUACCCGCUGAACUUAAGCAUAUCAAUAAGCGGAGGA
RNAcentral lists this unclassified non-coding RNA (334 nucleotides) under soil metagenome. RNAcentral's name for it is "partial contains 5.8S ribosomal RNA, internal transcribed spacer 2, and large subunit ribosomal RNA". The stretch from base 1 to 120 matches the Rfam family "5.8S ribosomal RNA", at positions 35 to 154 of the family's 154-position model. The record is from RNAcentral.